GUCACCCAGAUGCAGGCCCUCAGCGUAUAGGCGCCAAUCAUAUUGGUUCAAAAAGGUCUCCUUUUAGUUCAUUAUUACUUGCCUUUUGGCUUUUGAAUCUGUUUUCUCUUAUAAUUGUGUUCUAAAAUGGUUGUCUUAAGUGGGGAAAACCAUCGCUUAUCAACCUCUAUGAUUUUAAUUGAAAGAUCAAGCCUGAAUAGAGGAAUUAUAAUUUGAUAUGGGUGAAAAAUUGUUAGUCUGUUUCUUAUUAGAAUGAAAUAUUCACAGAAUUAGGCUUAGAUAUGCUGUAGAAAUUGGCGGUAGUAAUCGACUAAUUGUGGUUGGGAGCUGCAACAAAAGUUUUGUGGUAAUCACUGGUAACAGAACCUUGAAUUGUAAAGUGCGAAAGCUUAUAAAUUUUCAUAUCAUUAUAUUUGAUUUCAUUACCUCAUGGAACAAUUGAGACAAUCUUGUGCAGCCUUGCAUCUGCUUUGUCUCUGUUUUAACAGGUAUGGAGGGCAUUCACUUGGCCUGUCAAGACGCUGUCAAUGGCUUACCUUCAAGGAGACCUGUUAUCGAAAUGACAAUUCCUUCUGUAUUGGACAGGACUAUUUGUUAGAAUCCCUCAAUUAUUAUAAAUCCCUUAAUCGUGUAAAUUAGCUGUAAAUUAGAA
This 652-nucleotide unclassified non-coding RNA is filed under the name Hevea brasiliensis (rubber tree). Lineage: Eukaryota; Viridiplantae; Streptophyta; Magnoliopsida; Malpighiales; Euphorbiaceae. The record is from RNAcentral.